This 433-nucleotide ribosomal RNA is filed under the name uncultured bacterium. RNAcentral's name for it is "partial 16S ribosomal RNA". It matches the Rfam family "Bacterial small subunit ribosomal RNA", at positions 29 to 507 of the family's 1533-position model. The record is from RNAcentral.
AACGAACGCUGGCGGCAUGCCUAACACAUGCAAGUCGAACGAGACCUUCGGGUCUAGUGGCGCACGGGUGCGUAACGCGUGGGAACCUGCCCUUAGGUUCGGAAUAACUCCCCGAAAGGGGUGCUAAUACCGGAUAAUGUCUUCGGACCAAAGAUUUAUCGCCUUUGGAUGGGCCCGCGUUGGAUUAGCUAGUUGGUAGGGUAAAAGCCUACCAAGGCGACGAUCCAUAGCUGGUCUGAGAGGAUGAUCAGCCACACUGGGACUGAGACACGGCCCAGACUCCUACGCGAGGCAGGAGUGGGGAAUAUUGGACAAUGGGCGAAGGCCUGAUCCAGCAAUGCCGGGUGAGUGAUGAAGGCCUUAGGGUUGUAAAGCUCUUUUACCCGGGAUGAUAAUGACAGUACCGGGAGAAUAAGCUCCGGCUAACUCCGUG